AUGGACAUCUUUGAUAUGAUUUGGAGGAGGAGGAAGGAUGCAGAGAGAAAGGAGAGGUAAAAAUGUUGUACAUCAGCUCUCAGUAACCCCAGAAGACAUAUAAUGGUGCAACAAGAAAACUGGCUCUGCAAACGAAUGUGAUUUGUGACAAAUGCGAAGGUAGAGGAGGUAAGAAAGGAGCAGUAGAGUGCUGUCCCAAUUGCCGAGGUAACUGGAAUGCAAAUAAGAAUUCAUCAGAUAGGACCUGGAAUGGUUCAGCAAAUUCAGUCUGUGUGCAUGGAGUGCUAGGGCCAUGGGGAGUGGAUCAGUCCUAAAGAUAGAUGUAAAAGUUGCAAUGGAAGGAAGAUAGUUCAAGAGAAUAAGAUUCUAGAUGUUCAUAUUGACAAAGGCAUGAAAGAUGGCCAGAAGAUAACAUUCCAUGGUGAAGGAGACCAGGAACCAGGACUGGAGCCAGGAGAUACAAUCAUUGUGUUAUAUCAGAAGGACCAUGCUGUUUUUACUCGAUGAGAAGACUUUUUCAUGUGUAUGGACAUACAGCUGGUUGAAGCACUGUGUGGCUUCCAGAAGCUGGUAUCUACUCUUGACAACCAAACCAUAGUCAUCACCUCUCAUCCAGGUUAGAUUGUCAAGCAUGGAGAUAUCAAAUGUGUACUAAAUGAAGGCAUGCCAAUUUAUUGUAGACCAUAUGAAAAGGGUCGCCUAAUCAUCGAAUUUAAGGUAAACUUUCCUGAGAAUGGCUUUCUCUCUCCUGAUAAACUAUCUUUGCUGGAAAAACUCCUACCAGAGAGGAAGGAAGUAAAAGAGACUGAUGAGAUGGAUCAAGUAAAACUGGUGGACUUUGAUCCAAAUCAGGAAAGACGGUGCCAUUACAAUGGAGAAGCAUAUGAGGAUGAUGAACAUCAUCCCAGAGGUGGUGUUCAGUGUCAGACGUCUUAAUGGGCCAGUGAAUAACACUCACUGCUGGCAUUUCAUGUGCAGUAGUUAAGGAGUAAGGACUGUAAUCAUAAUAUGCUCACUACUUGCUCUUUUGUUAAUCAACUAUAGUAGUGUUUUAAAAAGUUAAAUGAAGAAUAAAGGCAAAUAUAAAAGCUCUGACCUUGCCCUGUAUGUAUGAUGACUUCAGUGUGCAAAAUGAAGUUUAAUACCUAUAAAAACUACUUUACAAAGAAGUUCCCCUAGCAUUGUUAGGCCAAACCUUGUAAUUGACUUCAGCUAUGUAUGUGGACAAGCUUAGACUGAAAUGCUAGGUAUAUGUACUGGCUUCAGUGUAUGACCCUUCACUGUUAAGCUAUGAAAGUAAAACUGUAUUUAACUGGCAAUAAGAAAAAAAAAGUUGUAGAGAA
Molecule: non-coding RNA, 1343 nt
Organism: Callithrix jacchus (white-tufted-ear marmoset)
Lineage: Eukaryota; Metazoa; Chordata; Mammalia; Primates; Cebidae
Source: RefSeq, a predicted model, not a curated record